This 136-nucleotide ribosomal RNA is filed under the name uncultured eukaryote. Its description in RNAcentral is "partial 18S ribosomal RNA". It matches the Rfam family "Eukaryotic small subunit ribosomal RNA", at positions 1299 to 1458 of the family's 1831-position model. The record is from RNAcentral.
UGGUGGAGUGAUUUGUCUGCUUAAUUGCGAUAACGAACGAGACUUUGACCCUUAAAUAGCCCGGUUAGCUUUGGCUGAUCGCUGGCUUCUUAAGGGGACUAUUAACUUAAGUUAAUUGAGGUGCAAGGCAAUAACA